This 439-nucleotide ribosomal RNA is filed under the name uncultured bacterium. RNAcentral describes it as "partial 16S ribosomal RNA". It matches the Rfam family "Bacterial small subunit ribosomal RNA", at positions 339 to 795 of the family's 1533-position model. The record is from RNAcentral.
CUACGGGUCGCUGCAGUGGGGAAUAUUGCACAAUGGACGAAAGUCUGAUGCAGCAACGCCGCGUGGAGGAUGACACAUUUCGGUGCGUAAACUCCUUUUAUAUAGGAAGAUAAUGACGGUACUAUAUGAAUAAGCGCCGGCUAACUCCGUGCCAGCAGCCGCGGUAAUACGGAGGGCGCAAGCGUUACUCGGAAUCACUGGGCGUAAAGAGCGUGUAGGCGGAUUAAAAAGUCAGAAGUGAAAUCCUAUAGCUUAACUAUAGAACUGCUUCUGAAACUCUUAAUCUAGAAUAUGGGAGAGGUAGAUGGAAUUUCUGGUGUAGGGGUAAAAUCCGUAGAGAUCAGAAGGAAUACCGAUUGCGAAGGCGAUCUACUAGAACAUUAUUGACGCUGAGACGCGAAAGCGUGGGGAGCAAACAGGAUUAGAUACCCGUGUAGUC